RNAcentral lists this unclassified non-coding RNA (201 nucleotides) under Hevea brasiliensis (rubber tree). The record is from RNAcentral. Lineage: Eukaryota; Viridiplantae; Streptophyta; Magnoliopsida; Malpighiales; Euphorbiaceae.
GCAAUAGUCCUACCAAUACUGAAUGCUGAAUCACUAAUUUGUUCCUACCAAUACUCAAUGAUUUUGCUUUAACCCUUUAAGAUCCCCGAGUAAUUCAGUUUAUUUUUCCAAAGAGCUGCCUUAAUUGCAUUUUUUCGGGGUACAAUUCAGGCCUUUUUUCUUAAGUGAGUGCCCAACAAAAGCUGGUACGGGAGGUUUUUG